RNAcentral lists this ribosomal RNA (524 nucleotides) under uncultured bacterium. RNAcentral's name for it is "bacterial SSU rRNA". It matches the Rfam family "Bacterial small subunit ribosomal RNA", at positions 92 to 631 of the family's 1533-position model. The record is from RNAcentral.
CCAGUGGCGAACGGGUGCGUAACACGUGAGAAAUCUAACAUUCGGCGGGGGAUAGCCGGCCCAACGGCCGGGUAAUACCGCGUACGCUCCUUGAGGGGCAUCCCUUGGGGAGGAAAGCAGCAAUGCACCGAAUGGGGAUCUCGCGGCCUAUCAGCUAGUUGGUGAGGUCACGGCUCACCAAGGCGACGACGGGUAGCUGGUCUGAGAGGAUGGCCAGCCACAUUGGGACUGAGACACGGCCCAGACUUCUACGGGAGGCAGCAGUGGGGAAUCUUGCGCAAUGGGCGAAAGCCUGACGCAGCGACGCCGCGUGCGGGAUGAAGGCCUUCGGGUUGUAAACCGCUGUCGGGAGGGACGAAUACAUGACGGUACCUCCAAAGGAAGCACCGGCUAACUCCGUGCCAUCAGCCGCGGUAAUACGGAGGGUGCGAGCGUUGUCGGAAUCACUGGGCGUAAAGGGCGCGUAGGCGGCCUGAUAAGUAGGGGGUGAAAUCCUGCGGCUUAACCGCAGGGCUGCCUUCUAA